This 406-nucleotide ribosomal RNA is filed under the name uncultured bacterium. RNAcentral describes it as "bacterial SSU rRNA". It matches the Rfam family "Bacterial small subunit ribosomal RNA", at positions 355 to 776 of the family's 1533-position model. The record is from RNAcentral.
UUGGGAAUCUUGCACAAUGGGGGAAACCCUGAUGCAGCGACGCCGCGUGGAGGAUGAAGGGUCUAGGCUCGUAAACUCCUUUUUCAGGGAAAGACUUAGGACGGUACCCUGAGAAUAAGCUCCGGCUAACUACGUGCCAGCAGCCGCGGUAAGACGUAGGGAGCGAGCGUUGUCCGGAUUUACUGGGCGUAAAGAGCACGUAGGCGGUCUGUUAAGUGAGAAGUGAAAUCUCCAGCGCUCAACGCGGAAACGGCUUUUCAUACUGGCAGACUUGAGGGAUGCAGAGGCAAGUAGAAUUCCUGGUGUACCGGUGACAUGGGUUGAUAUCAGGAGGAAUACCAAUGGCGAAGGCAGCUUGCUGGGCAUCAUCUGACGCUGAGGUGCGAAAGCGUGGGUAGCAAACAGG